Molecule: ribosomal RNA, 1402 nt
Filed under: uncultured bacterium
Lineage: Bacteria
Description: 16S ribosomal RNA
Rfam family: Bacterial small subunit ribosomal RNA
Source: RNAcentral
AGAGUUUGAUCCUGGCUCAGGAUGAACGCCCCCUGCGUGCCUCACACAUGCGAGUCGAACGGACUUAUAACGAAACCUACUGAAUUAUAACUUACUGGUGGACGGGUGAGGAGCGCGUGGAAGACCUGCCGCAUGCUGGGGGAUCACACUUAAAAAUCGGUGCUAAUACCGGAUCACCGCACGGCUUCACAUGAAACAGAGUGAAACACUCCGGUGGUAUACGAUGGUUCCGCGUCUGAUUAACUAGUUGGGGAGGUAAAACCCCACCUAGGCAACGAUCACUAUCCCGCCUGAGAGGGUGAGCGGCCACCUUGGGACUGAAACCCCGCCCAUACUCCUACGGAAGGCACCAGCGGGGGAUCUUGCACACUGGGGGGAACCCUGAUGCAGCCACCCCUCGUGAGUGAAGAACUAUUUCCGAAAGUCUAACUCUAUCAACACGCAAGAAAAAAAAUCCACUCGACUUUGGACAGUACCUGACUAACAAGCCCCAGCUAACUACCUGCCGACACACGCGGCAAUAGGUAGGGGGCAAGCGUUAUCCGGAUUUACUGGGUGUAAAGGGAGCGUAGACGGCGACGCAUGUCUGGAGUGAAAGCCCGGGUCCCAACCCCGGGACUGCUCUGGAAACUUCGUCGCUGGAGUACGGGAGGGGCAGGAGGAAUUCCUGGUGUAGCGGUGAAAUGCGUAGAUAUCAGGAGGAUACACCGGCGGAGAAGGCGGCCUGGUGGACCGUGACUGACUUUGAGGCUAGAGAGUGUGGGGAGCAAACAGGAUUAGACACCCUUGUUAGUCCACGCCUGUAAAACGAUGAAUCAUAGUUGUUGGCGCGGAAUAGCCUCCGGUGCCGCCGCAAACGCAGUUAGUAUUCUCCCCUGGGGAGUACUUCCGCAAGAAUUAAAUUCAAAGGAAUUGACGGGGACCCGCACAAGCGGGGGAGCAUGUGGUUUAAUUGAAAGCAACGCGAAGAACCUUACCAAAUCUUGACAUCCCUCUGGCAGAGUAUGUAAAGUACUUUUCCUUCGGGACAGAGGAGACAGGUGGUGCAUGGUUGUCGUCAGCUCGUGUCGUGAGAUGUUGGGUUAAGUCCCGCAACGAGCGCAACCCUUGCCGUCAGUAGCCAGCAGGUAAAGCUGGGCACUCUGGCGGGACAGCCGGGGAUAACCCGGAGGAAGGCGGGGAUGACGUCAAAUCAUCAUGCCCCUUAUGAUUUGGGCUACACACGUGCUACAAUGGCGUAAACAGAGGGAGGCGAAGCCGAGAGGAGGAGCAAAUCCCAGAAACAACUUCCCAGUUCGGACUGUAGUCUGCAACUCGCCUACAUGAAGCUGGAAUCGCUAGUAAUCGCGAAUCAGAAUGUCGCGGUGAAUACGUUCCCGGGUCUUGUACUCACCGCCCGUCA